GAAAUAAAUUAAUUAAAGCUUCUAACUUUAAAUAUAAUGUCUAAAUAACAUUAUUAUUUCA
RNAcentral lists this transfer RNA (61 nucleotides) under Anterhynchium (Dirhynchium) sp. QHZ-2020. RNAcentral's name for it is "tRNA-Ser". The record is from RNAcentral. Lineage: Eukaryota; Metazoa; Arthropoda; Insecta; Hymenoptera; Vespidae.